UUCAGUUACGUGAAGAGAAUAUUUGUUUGAAUAUUUUCGAGCUAAAAAGAAAAGGAUAAGCGAGUAUUAGCAUCAUCGCAGCUAGUGUUAGCUGCGCUGUGCUUAGUUUACCUUCCUUUCCGACACUCACUAUAAGCAAAUAGACACAUAAAUGAACAGAUAGACGGCCUUUUAGUCGCAAAUAAGUUAGUGCAAGGUGAGUAUGUGGUGAGUCACCUCGGCUGUUGGAGAGUGUGAGGGAGGUCGGUUAGCUAACUUGGCUAGUGAACGCUACAGUCGCAGCGGGAGGAAAGUUGGCCGCGAAGCACCGUUAUCAGCUGCUGAGAUUUACUUAGCGCUCACAAUUCCUCGGCGUCAAGGAAAACGCAUCUCUUUCCACGCGAGGCAGGUUUGCUCAACACUGGGCGUCCGAGGAAAGCUUUUAUUCAAGGGCUUAAACUGCGUGUGUGGAUUGUAACGGUGCAGUGGCUCACUUGAAAUAAUCCCGCAUGUUUUUUUUCUGGCGUCGACUUGGAAAACUUUGGAAAAAAUUACUAACGCGCAAUUUACAACAGCAUUUAUUUUGUUGAUAUAAACAAAAACAAAUUGAGGAGGAUUUUUUUUCGGAUAAGCGUCAUUCCUGAGCCUCACAGCUGGAAGCCCGGAUUCAUUUACCAUUGUUUUGCUUGCUUAUUUGUUCUUCGAACUACUCGUUUAAAAACUACUUUUGCCGCCAAAAGACGCACUGGUUACGGUUAAGGCGUUUAUCCCCGCCGCCGGAUCAUCCCAUGAGCCCACAAAGAGUGAACUUACUUGGAAAAGAAACGUACUCCAGCUCGGCUCCAUUUCCACACUUAGUAAUUCUGGAGGAAACCUAGUGGAAGCCUACAACAAAGCAACCAAACAUGGCAGCUGAAACAACUUCCGGUAACCUUAGGGGCUGUACCAUUUUACCAAUAACACGGGGGUUACAUCCUUGUGUGUUCCAUAAACGCGUAUUGUCUCCAAACUGACUUCAGACCAAUGAUUUAUAAUGAUUUACCGUACAAACUAAUAUUUAGCAGUAAAUCGCCACACAGAUUUUUUUUCUCACCGUACUUCUUGCCUAAUUAAGCAUGUUUUCUAAACACCCUCGUGGAAUCGUUUUUGAUGAUUCUUCGAGAGACAUGUUUUUUUUAUUUAUCGAGUAUUCUCUCUGUCUCUCUGCUCCAUAGGUGCUUCACGACUCCGUCAUUAAUGGAUGUGUUAUAUUAAAAAUAUGUAUUUCUCCUUUCAAUCAAUGAAUGAGUUUCUUUCUAAAAAGAAACCGUGUGGAUAGUAGCUUGUUUUCAUUCAUAGAGAGGGAAUGAAUGGACAUCCUUGGUUUAUAUCGCCUCUAGUGGACCAAAAUAUCAAUUACUGCACAGCAAAUUGAGGAGUGUUAAUUUUUUGGUGUUGAUGAGAAUCUUGAAGUUGGAGUGUCAAUCUUGCAAUAUUUGGAGUUGAUCUAACACUGCAUUUUCUUAAAAAUGUUAAAUUUAACACUGGAUCAUGAUAGUGUUGUAGUUAAAAUGGAGUGUUGAAAAUGUUCAAAUCUUGUUAGUGUCACAAUAAAGACAUUCAACACUUCCACACCCCAUUUAACACUUAACAGUGUUCACGUGUCUUAAGCUCCGCCCACGGACAUUUCAUUUAGACUCCACCCCUCACUUCACGUUGCUGAUGGAAGAAGUUGAUAAUUAGGAAUCAUUUUGCAUCAGUCGUUAUAUUUUCUAUUUAGUGUUGCUGUGAGCUGAAUCGGCACUGCCUGUGCAACAUUUGGCAAAGAGGAGCCCCCACACGUAGGCCUGCUGGCCCCCAGCAAAGGACUUGAUAUGCUGUACAAGAUACAAGAUAUCAAGAAAACCUUUGCUUGAGUCUUACAUGAAUGUGGCAUAAGCCCUGCAACUGUGGCUUUUCUUGAGUCUUACAUGAAUGUGAGGUGGAUGGAGAUGUCUUUGAUGAGCUUGUCAAGUCAGGUGUUUUGACUUUCAGGGUCCUUUUAUCAGUGACAGGUAAGGAUGUGAAAACGUUUGAAAAUGCAUGAGGUGGUUUAGAUAUCACAGACAGUGUGGACCCAUCAGGUACCUUGGUUUUGUCCAAAUGAGAUAUUGUUGUCAUGAUCUUUGAGGCCUCAAAAUGUAUUUUUGGUCUCACUUUACAAUAAGGUACACAAAAAUACAGUAGUUACUGAGGAACUAAUUACUAAAGCACAAAUUUACAGGAGUAGAGGAUCUAAUGAAGAACUAAAAAGGAACCAAUGAGCAGAGUAGUUACUGAGGAACUAAAACACAAUAUGGACAAUAUACAUUUAGAGUAGUUACUAAGAAACUAAUGAAGAACUAAUGAGUAGUGGUUAGGGUUAGAUAGGUUUGUUCCUCAUCCUGCACGACUGUAAUUUUGUGUACCUUAUUGUAAAGUGAGACAGUAUUUUCAUUUGAUAUUCAAUUUUUAGCCCCUUUUCCAUAGGUUGAAAUGCCCCAAAAUUAUUUUUUUGGUUUUAGUAGUAUUUAGUGUUUUGUACUGUUUUGUAGAGUAAGAGAUUCAUUUGACUGGAGAUGAAGCAUCCUCCACUAUCCCCAGCUUCACCCCAGUUAUCGCCAGUUGGUGGCGAUAACGGGUUUGACAAUUUAUCCUUCAGCCCACAAGAAAGAGGAACCCAACAGAACCAAUGGAUCAGGAUGAAUCAAGACAGAAAGUCGGUGGUGUUUCGAGGGCCAAUCCGAAAGAUACAUGUAUGAUGGAGCUGCCUGGGUCACUUCCCCCUUUCCAUUAGAACAGUCAUUCCAGACUGUCAUCAACUGCAGUAAGACCAUGUAGUGUGGGAAGGGUUCUAUCUGUGAUCAUUAACUAUGACGUGUUUUGAAAGGAGGGUUCCACCAUCAUGUGUGACGACAAAUUACGCCCUUUUGUGACUUGUUUUCCAUACCUCAAAGAUCCAUUCUCCAAACCUGGAUAUGUAAGAGUCUUUUCAAUGUAAAACCCAAAGUACUGUUUUUGUUUUUCCUUUAGGUGUGUAGUUUGCAUUAAAAUCUUGUUUCGAAUAUGUUCAUAGGAUGCUUAGCUUAGCGGCAGUGGCUCAGGAGGUAGAGCAGGUCGUCCAGAAAUCGUAAGGUUGGUUGAUCCUUGCUCCCUCCCCCUAGUCACUGUUGUGUCCUACACUUCUCCUGGCUCUCAAAGUUGUUCCAAGACUGUUUCUUCACGAUGGUCCAAAAACCAGAGGAGAACAUCUGUUAACUGGUCAACAGCUGUUUGAUGAGGAGUGCAGGGAGGCACUACCUACAAUAAGACAUUCAACCGAUGAAUCCGUGGUCGAAGAAGAUGAGAGCAACUUUCCAGUAUCGACAGAAUAUGAUCCAAGCACAAGAUGUAUACAAGAUACAAGAUACAAGAGAGUUUCAUUGUCAUGUGCAUAGUAAAACAGCAGUUAUACCAUGCAAUGAAAAUCUUAUUCUGUUCAUUUCAUCGUCUGUCCUCAAUGUGUUCCCUCACUUCCUUGAUGUUCCUGGAUUGGUAAGGAAAUCUUUAGUAUUUGGACGAGUUCAGUAUUGGAUUACCCAUUACGUCAGCCAUUUGUAAACCUGUAGGCCUACAGUAUAUGAAAUAUUCAUGUCUUGUUUCUAGAUUGACCAGGAUUUCUCAAUGAUGUUUGCUGAUGAAUUAUCUCAGAGGUUCCUGGCUAAGUGGUCAACUGUCUUCAAAGCAAAAGUCAUUGCAGACUGCAAGACUCUCCGGCAAAAGCAGAACAUUGAUGAGUUGCUGUCAGGAACUGAACCUCAACCCGAUGUGGCUGGGGCAGUGAUACAUCCUCCAUCCUUCUACUCCUGCAUCUGCUCCCUCUGACUUCUAGAGGCCAUGAAAAAAACAGCAAAGAUCAGUUUGUCAAGCAACCAACCAUCUUCUCAGACAUCUUAAGGCAUGCAAAGGUCAAUUUUUACAUAUCAAAUAUGAUUUCUGUCUAAAAGCAUUCAUUUUAGGUUGCAGAUGUUCUUGAAUUGGCUAAUUGUGUUGAUUCAAUGUCGUAAUAAGGUGUGCUAAACGCCUGAGAAAUGGAAACAAUGCAAACGGGUUUUAAUUGUUGUUGUUGUUCAAGAUUCAAGAUUCAAGAGUUUUAUUGUCAUGUGCAUGGUAAAACAGCAGUUAUACCAUGCAAUGAAAAUCUUAUUCUGUUCAUACUCCCAAGAAAAGAAAGGAAACACAAGAAAGAAUAAGAACAUAAGAAACAUAAACACAUAAACAUAUAUACCAAUAAAUUAAGCAACAACAACAGAAAAGACAUUAAUACAAGCAAAUAAUACAAAUAAAUAAAUAAAUAAAGUGCUAUGAGUGUGUGCGUGUGUUGCGUGCGGCGUGUGCGAGUGCUUCGUUGAGAAGCCUGAUGGCCUGUGGGUAAAAGCUGUUUGCCAGCCUUGUGGUCCUGGACUUCAAACUCCUGUAGCGUCUGCCUGACGGUAGGAGUGUGAAUAAUGAGUGUUGUGGAUGUGUGCUGUCCUUGAUGAGGUUGUGUGUUCUGCGUAGGACUCUAGUUUUAUAAAUGUCUUGCAGUGAGGGGAGGGCUGCCCCAACAAUGUUCUGUGAGGUCUUGAUCACCCGCUGGAGUGCCUUCCUAUCACGUGUUGUACAGUUACCGUACCAAACAGUGAUGGAGGCGGUAAGGACACUUUCCAUAGUGCAUCUGUAGAAGCAACUCAGGAUUGUGGUGGACAUGCCAAAUUUCCUCAGUCUUCUCAGGAAGUACAGUCUCCUUUGGGACUUCUUCAGAAUUUGUUGGGUGUUGUGAGACCAGGUGAGGUCCUCGCUGAUGUGUGUGCCAAGGAACUUGAAGGUUUUCACCCUCUCCACCUCAGUCUCAUCAAUAAACAGGGGUCUAUGCGGCUCCUUUUCCCUUGUUCUUGUUGUUGUUGUUGUUGUUGUUGCUGUUGCCCCUUUUCACCCACAGGAAGGAGCCAGUGUGACCCCCUUCCAAGACUGUUGACACAAGACAAGCAUUUCUCCUCUGCAUCAGUGAGCGAAGGUGACAUCCAGAGGUUCUACAUUAUUAUUGACCAAAAGCCGGUUCCAUGCAAGGCACAUACAUUUAUUGCAGCUUUUGAUGAACUGUUCAAAGCUCACUAUGUCUUCAGUCUCCCGUAUGGUUAAAAAUGGAUAAGAGCAAAGAUUUGGGUCUGAAUGCUUCCCAGUCAUGGUGUCUUCUAUGUAACACUCCACUUAUAUUUGGUGAUGUCAUUGAAAGGAAGAAUGAUCACUGGAACUUCCUCCUCCUUUUGAUGCAGAUUGUCAACAUACCUGCAGUGUUCUCCUACACCAUAACUGAUGGAAUGAUGCUUUACUUGAAACAUCUGAUAAGUGACCACCACACUCGGUACAAAGCAUUGCUUCCUGGUAAGAAGUUGAUUCCCAAGCAUACAAAACAUUGGCCCUCUUAUCCAUACGUGGUGCAAGUGUUUUGAAGCCAAACACAAUUCUUUCAAAAGGUGUGGUUAAAAUUUUCAAAAAUCUCAGUCGUUUGUCAUGGCCUUUCACUAUGAAAAUGAUUAUUUUAGAAGAUUUGCAUUUGGCCCUACAACAUGAAAAACAAUCUGCAACUUCAAAGGAGGGGAGGAGCGUGGUCAGGCAUGAUGUCUGCAAGCAUCUUCCAAGUGUGUCAAGUAUCAACUGGGUGAGACGUUACAGUAUAGAGUACCAUGUUGGUGUGUUCAUAUGUACUGGAUGUAGCUUUGAUCUACCUGUGUUCAAGAAGAUCUGUGAUAUACUAAAACUCAAAGAAUGUGCUUUCAUAAUCACCUGUAAUGUAGAAACGAUGUACUAUGAGGACCUGUUUAACGCGUACUGCAUAGAAGACCAAAUGCUUGAGUUUUCUGUCAUGUGUUUACAUGAACUGACUCAUUUCAGACCAUUUGACAAGCAGUGCUCUAAUGACAAGUGUCAAGGAGCAUACAUACUGUAGUG
This is a long non-coding RNA of Dunckerocampus dactyliophorus (ringed pipefish), 5946 nucleotides long. RefSeq lists it as uncharacterized. The transcript is spliced from 9 exons. NCBI's taxonomy places the organism in Eukaryota, Metazoa, Chordata, Actinopteri, Syngnathiformes, Syngnathidae. The record is from RefSeq and is a predicted model, not a curated record.